This 574-nucleotide ribosomal RNA is filed under the name uncultured rumen bacterium. Its description in RNAcentral is "bacterial SSU rRNA". It matches the Rfam family "Bacterial small subunit ribosomal RNA", at positions 347 to 916 of the family's 1533-position model. The record is from RNAcentral.
GGCAGCAGCUAAGAAUAUUCCGCAAUGGGCGAAAGCCUGACGGAGCGACGCCGCGUGCACGAUGGAGGCCGGAAGGUUGUAAAGUGCUUUUAUGACGGAGGAAGAAGCCGGGGAGGAAACGCCCCGGCGGCGACGGUACGCCAUGAAUAAGGGGCGGCUAAUUACGUGCCAGCAGCCGCGGUAACACGUAAGCCCCGAGCGUUGUUCGGAAUUAUUGGGCGUAAAGGGCGCGCAGGCGGCCGAGCAAGUCUGGAGUGAAAUCCCCGGGCCCAACCCGGGAACUGCUUUGGAAACUGCUUGGCUGGAGUCGCCGAAGGGAAGCCGGAAUUCCUGGUGUAGGGGUGAAAUCUGUAGAUAUCAGGAAGAACACCGAUGGCGAAGGCAGGCUUCCGGCGGACGACUGACGCUGAGGCGCGAAGGCGCGGGGAGCAAACAGGAUUAGAUACCCUGGUAGUCCGCGCAGUCAACGAUGCACACCGGGCGUCCGGACAUGAGUCUGGGUGCCGUAGCGAACGCGUUAAGUGUGCCGCCUGGGGAGUAUGCCCGCAAGGGUGAAACUCAAAGGAAUUGACGG